AAGAGGUUGGAGCUUCCAGUCACAUCCAGGCUUCCAGGAGUCCUGAAGGGGAGCAAAACCAAAUCCAAUCUCAUGUUGACAGCAAGGCAACGAAGGGCCUGGAUAUCCGAUGAAGGGAUACAGGUUCCCCUCGGGUCCCGAAGGCAAGGCAGGCUCUCGGGAGAAGAGCUUGGGAAGUUAGAUCCAGGAAGGAAACGAGAGGCACCGGCGGGGCUGGAGGAUCCCACACUCGCCCCCGUUGGCCAUGGGGUGGCCCGCUUGACAUCCUGGCCAGCAUCCCUCCCUCAGCCGGUGGCCAUCGAGAGAAACGGUCGAGGCAAAGCGCGCAAAAAACUGUCCUUUUUAUUAUUAGUUCUCUUCACAAACACAGCCUGAAAGAACGGAAUGACGAGCCACUCCUGUUGUGUUUCUCCCUCAAGGGAGGGCCGUCGAAGUUGUAUUGUCACUCCCCGCAGCAACUUGAGGGGCGAGAGAAAGAAGGCAACAACGUGUUGCUCCCUUUUUUUGCCUUUUUGCCAGACAGAUGGGCACCGAAAGGAGGCGGGGAGGGAGGGAAGGAAGGCGGGAGGCAGGACCAGGCGCGCAAGGUGUCUGCCGCUGCUGCGCUUCCUCGAAGAAGGACUGGAUCAUGCUCAUCUCCUAUCCUACAUCAUACGACUGGACUUUCAAUGCAUACCCUAGAACUGUGUCCAUCAAUCCAGUUUCCUGGGCUAAACAUUGCCAAAUGCAACAUUAGCAUUGCGUGACUCAUAGUGCAAAGCAUCACUUCUGGUGGCACAUGACCCAGAAGUGCCAUUUCCAGUUCCUGUCAUGGCUGUGUUUUGUCUAUGCAACACGCUCAUGGCUAGUCUACAGACGCUGAGCCUUAGUUGUGCCACAGAUCAGUGAUAAACAUUUACUGUGUUUUCCCAAAGUAUAGAAGUUGCCAUUCAAAUAUUUUAAUAUUCUAAAUGCCCUAGCAUGCUUACCUGGAAACAAGUUUCAAUGAAAUCUAUAAUGAUUUAGGAUGCAAUAGAACUAAUAAAAAUGAUAGGAAUUUUUUCCACAGAUUUUUUUCCAUGCCAAGAUAGCUUAGUUGGCUUGCACACCAAAUUGUUUUUCUUCUCUAUUCUUAAAAAAACAAACAGUCCUUCCAUUUGCAUUCUCUGAAAAAAAAACUUACAAGAAAAGAAAGCGACAGAAAUAUACACAGCGUUAUUUGUAUUGCUGCCGGUUUCUUUGUGCUCAGCUGGUAUGAAAGGAGGUAAUGAUCAUAAUGAGCUUGCACUCACAAUUCUGCUCUUCAAGACUCCCAAGGGGUGGGUUGCAAAUAGAUAUUAUGAAUGUAUGCCUUUUUACAAAAGGAUAGUCUUUCAAAUAUAGAAAGAGAGAUUUUGCUAGCCUACUUUUAAGGGGCACCUGGAUGUACUUUAUUAUAUUUGCAUUUAGAUGUUCACCUCCCCAAUGUUUUUGUGCAAAGAAGAUACAGUACAACACUCUUAUCCAUGGAUUCAAUAUUUACAGUUUCACUUACCUAUACUCUAAAAAAUACACCCACCCUCCUGAAAGUAUUUGUAGACUCUCCACAUUCUCCAGUACAAUUUUGUGGUAUGCUUCUGAUCCAAAUGUAGUAAAAUAUAGGGUUCACUAUUAUUCAAUUUUUCAGGUAUCCAUGAGGGGUCUUGCAAGAUAUUUCCCAUGAAUAAAAGGAUGAAGGUCAUACUAUAUAUGGGGCCAUCAAUUAUGUGGUUAUGAUUAAUAGAUUAUCCCACCUUACUGUUUUCAAGGAAGAUAGGUAUGCAUUUAUCUGCUAUUUAAUGUGUGGGAUGACCUCAUUCUAUCAGCUGUUAUUUUUUUAAUUUUAAAUACAUUUCAUUUGAAAAUUGUGGUACACCCACAAUACACAUACACAUAUAGAUGCCCAUAUGCACAUCACUUAGGCAUCCCGCCACCCACAGUACCAUUACCCUUCAUCCCACCCCCAGUUCAACCCACCACUUUGGCUUCCAUCACUAAUCCUCGCAGAGUUUAUGCACUUUUUUUACCCCUCUAUACUUUCCACCAGCUGUUAUGAUCCCGUUAGGUAUGGAGGUCAAGAUGGUUGGAAAUAUACUAUCAGAUGGAGAUAGAGUGCAGCAAGAAGUAUGCUCUCAUUACCAAAGACACAGUAACUAUCUCCAGAAUCACUUACUAAGCACAUCCAACAGCAAAACAUAGAAGAGCAAGAAGCAGAUCAGUCUGUUUCACCAGCUGCCCCAGCAUAUUGUAAAGGCAUAGACCUGUACAUUUGGCCACCAAAAUGGAAAUCUUAAGAGAGCCAAAAGCUGGUGGGAAAUAAGCUUUCAAAUGUUCAAAUCAUAUUUGUUCAUUUAUUCAAGGCUUGCCUAAGUCAAUUCAUUUCAUAUGUACUGGUUAUUAGUUCUGAAUAAGAAGUUUGCUGAAAUAUGAGGCAUUGCUCUGUUUUCUUGUGAAGUCAUUUCUGUCUCUGGUAACAAAUUUUCCACUAAAGAAGUCACGCCAUAGAAUGUUUCUACCCCAUCAACUUUUUUUUCAUUUCAGGAGUGACUUGAGAAACUGCAAAUUGCUUCUGUUGUGAGAGAAUUGGCCGUCUGCAUGGAUGUUGCCCAGGGGAUGCCUGGAUGUUUGAUGUUUUGCCAUUCUGUGGGAGGCUUCUCUCAUGUUCCUGCAUGGGGAGCUGGAGCUGACAGAGGGAGCUCAUCUGGGAUAUAUGGUAGUUUAACCCAUUGUGCCACCAGGGGCUCCUACUCCAUCAACUAAGUAUACCUGUGUGUCCCCUCCCUAAAAGGAAAUGUGAGUAAUAGGAUUACUAACCUAAAAACCAUCCUAUUUUAAGUAAUCUGAAUUCUCUAGAGACUGGAUUCAGGUAAAACCUAGCUGGCCAGCUGAAGUCCUGAACAAGAGAGAUAUCCCUGAAUAAAGGUUUUCAGUCCAUUUGAGGGAGAGUAGAAACUAUUAGCAUAGUUUCUAAACAAAAUUUGACAGGUGGUGGUUUUACCUAUUAUUGUCCCUUCAAAAUUGCUUUUGACUAAUUACAAAUUUAGACAGUGUUGUUUGAGAGCUCCGUUUAGAUGAGUAAUGAAGCUUUUUGGGUGAUCAAAAAUGUGCCACACUUUUCUCUCUCUUUACAUUUUGCAGUGUUUAUCUGAGCCGCCCAAAUAAUAAAAAACAAACUACAAACUACAAAACCUUAACUAAUUUAUAUAAAGCAAAAACUAUAACUAUCACAAUAAGAAGGAGAAAGGAUGCCCUCCAGUUAUCAUUUCUGCAGUUGUAGUUAACACUUAAAAUCUACCUCUAUCUUAUUUGUGGGUAGCGUGCCAUCUAUAUACCGUAUUUUCUGGUAUAUAAGACAACUGGGUGUAUAAGACAACCCCAAACUUUUCCAGUUAAAAUAUAGAGUUUGGGAUAUACUUGCCCCCUCUUCCAACGCACACCAAAUAAAAAGAUGAUCAGAGCGAUAGCGAAAACAUGCCUCUUUCACCUGUCUGGCCUGCUCUUGUAUUCUAUUACUGUCCCUCCUUCUUUGCCUCUCUGAUCUCGCACAUGCGAGAAUGUGCCGCUUCACUGCAGUCCUCAGGAGUGAGAUCUGAGAGGCAGAGAAGGAGGUAUGGUAAUAGGAUACAAGGGUGGGCCAGAUGGGUGAAAGAGACAUGUUUUUCUGGGCACAGCGCUGCUCUAUCUCUUUUUUCCAUCCCCACCUGCAGCUUGCUCGGCCGUUCGCUUACACCUUCCUGGUGAGUCACCCCCUCACCUCGUCAUUGGGACUGCUUUAAGUCACUUCUUUCCACAAAUCCUGGUGAGUGGAUUUUUUUCUACCGUACUUGUACAGCGCCGCCCUUGCGGCUUUCAUACGGUCACCACAUAUGGCAGGGAUGCAACCACCGCCGUUUUUGAGCUCCCUCACCAUAUGCGGUGACCGCAGAUUCUCCAGUCUGGCUCGGAAGUUUCAGCACCCGCCCUAUAAGGUGAUACCCAGCGUAUAAGAUGGCCCUUGACUUUUGAGAAGAUUUUCCUGGGUUAAAAAAGUAGUCUUAUACUCCAGAAAAUACGGUACUUAAUUCAUAUUAAUUAAUUUAAACAACAAUAAUAAAAUCACAUUUGUUUUAUUUCAGAAAGUCAAUGAGGGAGCUCCAGUCCUUCAAAAACAUUACUAGUGACUAAAAAAAAAAAAUCAAAAUAGACGGUUUGUCCAUUUCUGCUAGGUCGUUAAGUUUUAAUAACCACUCAUCUUUAGUAGGUAUUAAGUCGUUCUUCCAUUUCUGCACAUAUAUAUAUAUAUGCACAUAUAUAAUAUUCUUACAGCUGUUGUCAGAUAUUGGAUUGGUCUUUCUCCUGGAAAAGCAAUAAAGUUUCACUCAUUGUUGAUAACAGGUAACCUUUUAUGAUGAUCCAGAGGAAGAUCCUUCUCAUUCUCCAGAUGUUCCACCCAUACACUAUUCCUAUGAACUUGAAGGUAAUCUGACAGGACAUUGCAGUCUCCUAUCUAUUUUAAACACUGCUUUGUAACAUGGAAAUGCUUUCACAGGCAAAUAUUGAGGUUUAAAGCCUGUACUAACAGGCAUCUAUGAAAAAAAAAUCCCAAGCUGAAUAAUGAAUACAUUUUUAAAGAUCUAUACCAUUGCCCUCUUAUCUAUGGAUCUGAUUCAUACUGAAAGCCAGAAAUCAAUUCGAUCUCUCUAGAUACAAACUAUAAAGAGCUUUUUUUUACAUUUCAGUUGUUUUGCCUUUUGAUGAGCGAUAGAUGAGUAAAGUGUUUAUCAAGCAGCAAGAAACCCUUUAUGUUUUUCAGUGAAAUCUGUUCACUGUUCCCAUCUAAGAACUAAUUGGCAAGAAUACAAAGGAAGAGAAGUGCAUUUUAUCUGGCAUAAUCCCUGUUCUACUUUGGCUACAAAAUCAGACAAAUUGACCUUGCUAGCUUUGUUUACUAGAUCCUUUUUAUUGACAUCUCUCUUUCACCCAGCUGUCCUAUUUUACUGUAUUAUAGAUGCCAAAUUAUCCUAGAGAUUUUUCUCAUCUCUCUCCAGAACUGGAAUAUCAAGCUUACAGUCCUUCGAAGUAACUUCUCUAAUUUCCCAUAGGGCUCCUUCAAAGUGGGUGGCUCAACUAUGACUGCUUAUGAUAUUAAAUGUCUUCUCAUUUAUCUUAAUUCACUAGUUGCAACAUUAACACUGUUUUUUUUA
Molecule: long non-coding RNA, 5180 nt
Filed under: Anolis carolinensis (green anole)
Lineage: Eukaryota; Metazoa; Chordata; Lepidosauria; Squamata; Anolidae
Description: lncRNA (ENSACAG00000038544.1)
Source: RNAcentral